Molecule: ribosomal RNA, 253 nt
Filed under: uncultured bacterium
Lineage: Bacteria
Description: partial 16S ribosomal RNA
Rfam family: Bacterial small subunit ribosomal RNA
Source: RNAcentral
UACGGGGGGGGCAAGCGUUGUUCGGAAUUACUGGGCGUAAAGGGCUCGUAGGCGGCCAACUAAGUCAGACGUGAAAUCCCUCGGCUUAACCGGGGAACUGCGUCUGAUACUGGAUGGCUUGAGGUUGGGAGAGGGAUGCGGAAUUCCAGGUGUAGCGGUGAAAUGCGUAGAUAUCGUGAGGAACACCAGAGGCGAAGGCGGCUACCUGGACAAUUGCUGACGCUCAGGCACGAAAGCGUGGGGAGCAAAAGGG